AAUGGGCUUGAUUUGCAAACUUUAUUUAGCGAGGAACAAUUGGAGGGCAAGUCUGGUGCCAGCAGCCGCGGUAAUUCCAGCUCCAAUAGUGUAUAUUAAUGUUCCUGCAGUUAUUCGAUGCUCGUAGUUUGAUUUCUGGGGGCUGAGAUUGGAAGGUGGCCAAGGUCACCGCCGAACUCUUCCUUCAUCCACCUGUUAACGUUGUCCGGGAUUUGUUUCUCGGCUUCAGGCUCAGGUAUUUUACCCUUUCUAUAUAUUCAUUUAUUUAUCUUCUUUUUGAGUAAAUUAUAGUGUUUCAGGCAGGCGUGCGCCGGAAUACUUUAGCAUGGAAUAAUCGAAUUGGACCGUGUAUUCUUAUAGAAUUCUUCCUUAUUUGUUGGUUUCAAGGACACGGAAAUGGUUAAUAGGGAUAGUGUUCUCAGGGGAGGCAUUAGUAUUUAAUUUCCAGAGGUGAAAUUCUUUGAAAUAUUAAAGACUAACUUAUGCGAAAGCAUCUAUUUUGCCAAUAAUGUUUUCAUUAAUCAUUGAACGAAAGUUAGGGGAUCAAAGACGAUCAGAUACCGUCCUAGUCUUAACCAUAAACGUUGCCGACUAGGGAUCGGAGGGCGUGCACAUUCCGCCUUCGGCACCUUACGAGAAAUCAAAGUCUUUUGGGUUCUGGGGGUAGUAUGGUCGCAAGGCUGAAACUUAAAGGAAUUGACGGAAGGGCACCACCAGGAGUGGAGCUUGCGGCUCAAUUUGACUCAACACGGGAAAUCUUACCAGGUCCAGACAUAGCGAGGAUUGACAGAUUGAUAGCUCUUUCUUGAUUCUAUGGGUAUUUAUUUUAAUUUUGGUGGUGCAUGGCCGUUCUUAGUUGGUGGAGUGAUUUGUCUGGUUAAUUCCGUUAAGCGAACGAGACCUCAGCCUGCUAAAUAGUUACCUGUCUUUCUUUUACGAGACUUGAUAACUUCUUAGAGGGACGUUGUGUGCAACCACAAGGAAGUUGAGGCAAUAACAGGUCUGUGAUGCCCUUAGAUGUCCUGGGCCGCACGCGUGCUACACUGAUACGUACAACAAGGUAUAUGCAUUUAUGCAUCGAUGCUGCUCCGAAAUAGACACAGCUAAAUCUUCUAAAAUACGUAUCGUGCUGCGGAUAGAUCGUUGAAAUUAUGGAUCUUGAAGGUGGAAUUCCUAGUAAGCGCGGGUCAUCAACCCGCGUUGAUUACGUCCCUGCCCUUUGUACACACCGCCCGUCGCUCCUACCAAUUUCGAGUGGCUCGGUGAACCUCUUUGGACUGUCGAGCAAUCGCGAAAUUAGAGUGAACCUGGUCAC
Molecule: ribosomal RNA, 1315 nt
Filed under: metagenome
Description: SSU rRNA
Rfam family: Eukaryotic small subunit ribosomal RNA
Source: RNAcentral